RNAcentral lists this ribosomal RNA (423 nucleotides) under uncultured bacterium. Its description in RNAcentral is "bacterial SSU rRNA". It matches the Rfam family "Bacterial small subunit ribosomal RNA", at positions 207 to 622 of the family's 1533-position model. The record is from RNAcentral.
AAGACCUUGCGCUUUUGGAGCGGCCGAUGCCUGAUUAGCUUGUUGGUAAGGUAAAAGCUUACCAAGGCUUCGAUCAGUAGCUGGUCUGAAAGGACGACCAGCCACACUGGGACUGAGACACGGCCCAGACUCCUACGGGAGGCAGCAGUGGGGAAUUUUGGACAAUGGGGGCAACCCUGAUCCAGCCAUGCCGCGUGAGUGAAGAAGGCCUUCGGGUUGUAAAGCUCUUUCAGCCGGAACGAAACGGUUACGGUUAAUACCCAUGACUACUGACGGUACCGGAAGAAGAAGCACCGGCUAACUACGUGCCAGCAGCCGCGGUAAUACGUAGGGUGCGAGCGUUAAUCGGAAUUACUGGGCGUAAAGCGUGCGCAGGUGGUUUUGUAAGUCAGAUGUGAAAGCCCCGGGCUCAACCUGGGAACU